Small RNA from Paenibacillus sp. TCA20, 88 nucleotides. It matches the Rfam family "BsrC". From Rfam's summary of the family: The 301 nucleotide sequence from Kouji Nakamura has been trimmed to a highly conserved ~85 nucleotide long core to form this family. The record is from Rfam. NCBI's taxonomy places the organism in Bacteria, Bacillati, Bacillota, Bacilli, Caryophanales, Paenibacillaceae.
UACAUUUCACACAACAAAAGCCCUACCUCUCUUUUGUCCUUACGGCUCCGAUGACCGCGCCAGUUUGAAUGAAAAUCAUAAAAUCUCG